Molecule: ribosomal RNA, 253 nt
Filed under: uncultured bacterium
Lineage: Bacteria
Description: partial 16S ribosomal RNA
Rfam family: Bacterial small subunit ribosomal RNA
Source: RNAcentral
GACGUAGGGCGCGAGCGUUGUCCGGAUUUAUUGGGCGUAAAGAGCUCGUAGGCGGCUUGUCGCGUCGACCGUGAAAACUUGGGGCUCAACCCCAAGCCUGCGGUCGAUACGGGCAGGCUAGAAUUCGGUAGGGGAGACUGGAAUUCCUGGUGUAGCGGUGAAAUGCGCAGAUAUCAGGAGGAACACCGGUGGCGAAGGCGGGUCUCUGGGCCGAUAUUGACGCUGAGGAGCGAAAGCGUGGGGAGCGAACAGG